UACAGAGGGUGCAAGCGUUGUUCGGAAUUAUUGGGCGUAAAGGGCGCGUAGGCGGUGCGGUAAGUCUGUAGUGAAAUCUCUGGGCUCAACUCAGAGUCUGCUGCAGAAACUGCCGUGCUUGAGUGUGGGAGAGGUGAGUGGAAUUCCCGGUGUAGCGGUGAAAUGCGUAGAUAUCAGGAGGAACACCUGUGGUGUAGACAGCUUACUGGACCACUUCUGACGCUGAGACACGAAAGCGUGGGUAGCAAACAGG
Molecule: ribosomal RNA, 253 nt
Filed under: uncultured bacterium
Lineage: Bacteria
Description: partial 16S ribosomal RNA
Rfam family: Bacterial small subunit ribosomal RNA
Source: RNAcentral